Molecule: long non-coding RNA, 653 nt
Organism: Cotesia glomerata
Lineage: Eukaryota; Metazoa; Arthropoda; Insecta; Hymenoptera; Braconidae
Exons: 2
Source: RefSeq, a predicted model, not a curated record
GUUUUUUUUUUAUUUUUUUUCUAGACAAAAAAUAAAUUUAUUAUUUAUUAUUAAAAUAUAAUUGACAGCUAAAAAAUUAUUAAAUAUAUUUUCAGAUGAUAUUUUGUAGGCGGAAUGAAAUAAAACAGCUUUAAUUUAAAGACCGAUCAAAGUAAAAGUCGGAAUUGACGAGGUCACUUCUGGUGAACGUCGAUCGCGGUGUGAAACUCGAUCCCAAAAAUCAAAAAGAGCUUGGAUUCACUUACCGACACUACCCCGAGAUAACUUUCCGAGACGACAACCGCACGAGAAAUGCGAGCAGGAUUGUAAGCAAGCCCACGGGAUUACUCUUUCUUCUGUACCCUGCAGCAACUAUAUGCUAUACCAGCAGCAUUAACCAGAUAGAGAACAGGAACAACACGAACGAGUACCACUUGGGACACGCAGUGUUCUUUAAAAGAUUACAUACACAGACUGUAGGUUGUUGCACCGGACGAACCACUUUCUAUUUCAUUUUUUUGGACUCCCUUCUCUUCUCCCUCGUACUCGUACUCUUGAUGGAAUAAGGACGGGUUUACCGGCUGACAGGGCCGUAAGAGAAUAUAUCCUCUUAAAUUAUCCCUAACGAAUUUACGAACCUUAUAUGCAUCGUUUUUUGAUACAUUUCUUCUUAA